RNAcentral lists this ribosomal RNA (1104 nucleotides) under Bacillus thuringiensis. RNAcentral's name for it is "bacterial SSU rRNA". It matches the Rfam family "Bacterial small subunit ribosomal RNA", at positions 29 to 1114 of the family's 1533-position model. Lineage: Bacteria; Bacillati; Bacillota; Bacilli; Caryophanales; Bacillaceae. The record is from RNAcentral.
GGCAAUUUAGCGGCAUGCCUUAUAAUGCAGUCGAGCGAAUGGAUUAAAAGCUUGCUCUUAUGAAGUUAGCGGCGGACGGGUGAGUAACACGUGGGUAACCUGCCCAUAAGACUGGGAUAACUCCGGGAAACCGGGGCUAAUACCGGAUAACAUUUUGAACCGCAAGGUUCGAAAUUGAAAGGCGGCUUCUGCUGUCACUUAUGGAUGGACCCGCGUCGCAUUAUCUAGUUGGUGAGGUAACGGCUCACCAAGGCGACGAUGCGUAGCCGACCUGAGAGGGUGAUCAGCCACACUGGGACUGAGACACGGCCCAGACUCCUACGGGAGGCAGCAGUAGGGAAUCUUCCGCAAUGGACGAAAGUCUGACGGAGCAACGCCGCGUGAGUGAUGAAGGCUUUCGGGUCAUAAAACUCUGUUGUUAGGGAAGAACAAGUGCUAGUUGAAUAAGCUGGCACCUUGACGGUACCUAACCAGAAAGCCACGGCUAACUACGUGCCAGCAGCCGCGGUAAUACGUAGGUGGCAAGCGUUAUCCGGAAUUAUUGGGCGUAAAGCGCGCGCAGGUGGUUUCUUAAGUCUGAUGUGAAAGCCCACGGCUCAACCGUGGAGGGUCAUUGGAAACUGGGAGACUUGAGUGCAGAAGAGGAAAGUGGAAUUCCAUGUGUAGCGGUGAAAUGCGUAGAGAUAUGGAGGAACACCAUUGGCGAAGGCGACUUUCUGGUCUGUAACUGACACUGAGGCGCGAAAGCGUGGGGAGCAAACAGGAUUAGAUACCCUGGUAGUCCACGCCGUAAACGAUGAGUGCUAAGUGUUAGAGGGUUUCCGCCCUUUAGUGCUGAAGUUAACGCAUUAAGCACUCCGCCUGGGGAGUACGGCCGCAAGGCUGAAACUCAAAGGAAUUGACAGGGGCCCGCACAAGCGGUGGAGCAUGUGGUUUAAUUCAAGCCACGCGAACAAACAUAACCCGGUCUUGACAUCCUCUGACCACCCCACGAGAUUUGGCUUCUCCUUCCACAGCAGAGUGACAAGUUGAUACAUAGUUUUUCGUCUCUCCAUCCACAUGAGAUGUUUGGAUAAAAGCCGCUAAACUCACCACAACCCUUGG